UUUUCUCUAGUCUCUUGGCAAUGAAUUUGAACCAGUUUUAUGUAAUAUGAUUAAAAUCUGGUUCUUCUAUAUGUUUUUUCUUGUGUAUUUCCACGUGGAUGAAGGAUGUUAAUAGACGCAUGAUAGGAAGUGGAAUAGUGUUGCUUGUAACAUCAUUGUCUUUCUCAUUUGGGGCCAAUUUUAUAAUCUUGUGAUGCUAACGUCACAUGCGAGUUUAUGACCACUUGUGAUGUACAUUGUAUUUUUUUUACUUUACUUCAUAUUAGUAAAUGUUGUGAUGCACACGACUUACAAUGUUGAUGAGAUACUUUUUAUGAUAAAAUUUUAAUUUAGAAUUUAAUGAGUAAAUGUUUGCCAUGAAAUGAGCAUUAGUGUCUACAAUAUAUAUUUUUUUGUUUUAAGUUAAUUUGAAUAUGAAAUGCAUUGGGUUUAGUAAAAAAAGCUUUUAGACAUAACUUUUAUUAGGGAAAUAAAAUAUACAUCGAUUGAGUUGAAGCUUUAAAUGUCUGACAUGAAAUUUAGACGUAAUGAAAAAGAAAUAAUAGAAAUGGAUAGAUGAAUAAAAUUCCAAAAUCCUGGUAGCCAAAUGGUUGUGGUGCUUUUAUGCGGUGCUCAAUUCUCUUUGGUGUAGGAUUAUUGUGAGUAAACAUAGACCUCAUCCCUUUGAGUGGUUGGUUAAAAGGGGUUAAAGGCACUUACCUGAAUCCAUGGAAAGAUAUUUUCAAAGAGCCCCCUGACUAUGUUCCUUGGGUUUGUUGUGUGGUGGGGGAUGGAGGAGAGACGUACUUUUGGGAGAAUCAUUGGAUGGGGGUGUCCCCUCUCUAGGGCUUUUUCUCGUUUAUAUAAGUUGUCCUCGCUUAAAAAUCAUUUUGUCUUUGACUUUCUUGUGUGGAUUGGGAGCUCUUAUUCGUUUUCUUUUGGGUUCCAUCUCCCUCUUACUGAUAGGGAUACAAUGGAGGCAAUGCCUCUUCUUUCGGUUCUCGAAAAUCACCAUUUUUGUCUUGGGAGGAGAGAUUUGAUUGUCUGGAAUCCUUGACCUUUGGAUGGGUUCUUGUGUUCUUCAUGGCCGCAUUAGUAUGAAGGAUAGGCUUUUGAGGAAGAUGCCUUUGUUGGUUGGGCAUUUCUGUUGCAUUCUUUGCUGGAAGGCGGAGGAAGACUUGGACCAUAUUUCUUUGGCAUUAUGAGUUGAUGAGCCGUGCUUGGGGAGAAAGGCUGCUUUCUCUGGUGUGUUAGCGUUUAUGCUAUCUUGUGGGUGCUUUGGAAUGAGAGAAAUAGUAAGGUGUUCAAGGGAGUUGAGAGGAUGAGUGGUUGUGUAUGGUCUCUUCUCUCUUGUUUGCGUUCAUGUCUCCCAUAGGGCUUCGAUUUUGAAGAUCUUUUGUAAUUAUUCUAUGAACUCGAUUUUGUAUAGUUCUCCCCCUUCUUACCGUGAGAUUCCAUAACUUUGGGAGCUUGGUUUUUUGUGCCCGUGUAUUCAUUAAUUCUUUCUCAUAAAAAAGGUAAUUGUUUUAAA
Cucumis sativus (cucumber) is the source of this 1510-nucleotide long non-coding RNA. RefSeq lists it as uncharacterized. NCBI's taxonomy places the organism in Eukaryota, Viridiplantae, Streptophyta, Magnoliopsida, Cucurbitales, Cucurbitaceae. The record is from RefSeq and is a predicted model, not a curated record. The transcript has 2 exons.